RNAcentral lists this ribosomal RNA (451 nucleotides) under uncultured Ralstonia sp. Its description in RNAcentral is "bacterial SSU rRNA". It matches the Rfam family "Bacterial small subunit ribosomal RNA", at positions 444 to 893 of the family's 1533-position model. The record is from RNAcentral. Lineage: Bacteria; Pseudomonadati; Pseudomonadota; Betaproteobacteria; Burkholderiales; Burkholderiaceae.
AAUGGCUCUGGUUAAUACCUGGGGUCGAUGACGGUACCGGAAGAAUAAGGACCGGCUAACUACGUGCCAGCAGCCGCGGUAAUACGUAGGGUCCAAGCGUUAAUCUGAAUUACUGGGCGUAAAGCGUGCGCAGGCGGUUGUGCAAGACCGAUGUGAAAUCCCCGAGCUUAACUUGGGAAUUGCAUUGGUGACUGCACGGCUAGAGUGUGUCAGAGGGGGGUAGAAUUCCACGUGUAGCAGUGAAAUGCGUAGAGAUGUGGAGGAAUACCGAUGGCGAAGGCAGCCCCCUGGGAUAACACUGACGCUCAUGCACGAAAGCGUGGGGAGCAAACAGGAUUAGAUACCCUGGUAGUCCACGCCCUAAACGAUGUCAACUAGUUGUUGGGGAUUCAUUUCCUUAGUAACGUAGCUAACGCGUGAAGUUGACCGCCUGGGGAGUACGGUCGCAAGA